GUUGAUGAAGAAAACAAAAAAGGCAAGGAGCUAACUAAAAUUCCCACAUAAGCAUGUAUAUAUCUUUCACGACUGUACAAACAUGGAUCAACAGUAUAAUUUUGUAAUGUUCCAUAGCAUGACUUAGGAUCUGGCCACAUCCAAAUAGUUUUAGCAUCAAUAAUAAAUUAUCAACUGAUAACAAAAUAUUUAAACAGGAUUUUAUAAUGCCUUGAUGUCUGCUGAAAAAAGUACCACAUAUUUUGCUUCAUCCUAGUAUCAAAUAUUUCCUAUUUUACUCUGUGCAAAAGUUACCAAAACUUCAGAGUAACGAGGAAAAUACCAAGUGUUUAGGAGCAUUAUCAAC
RNAcentral lists this unclassified non-coding RNA (346 nucleotides) under Hevea brasiliensis (rubber tree). The record is from RNAcentral. Lineage: Eukaryota; Viridiplantae; Streptophyta; Magnoliopsida; Malpighiales; Euphorbiaceae.